Molecule: ribosomal RNA, 475 nt
Filed under: uncultured bacterium
Lineage: Bacteria
Description: bacterial SSU rRNA
Rfam family: Bacterial small subunit ribosomal RNA
Source: RNAcentral
GAUGAACGCUAGCGGCAGGCUUAAUACAUGCAAGUCGAGGGGCAUCAAGGUACACGAAAGUGUAUUGUUGGCGACCGGCGGACGGGUGAGUAAUAGGUAGGUAACCUACCUCAUACUGAGGCAUAGCUGGGAGAAAUUCCAGGUAAUUCCUCAUGAGGUUAUAUGACACAUGUGAUAUAAUCAAAGGUAUCGCAAGGUACUGGUAUGAGAUGGGCUUACUGACCAUUAGCUAGUUGGUGAGAUAAGAGCUCACCAAGGCGAAGAUGGUUAGGGGUUUUGAGAGAGAGAUCCCCCACAUUGGAACUGAGAUACGGUCCAGACUCCUACGGGAGGCAGCAGUAGGGAAUAUUGGGCAAUGGGCGAAAGCCUGAUCCAGCGACGCCGCGUGGAGGACGAAGCCCUUCGGGGUGUAAACUCCUUUUCUCAGGGAAAAAGGAUGAUGGUACCUGAGGAAUAAGCCCCGGCUAACUACGUG